Molecule: unclassified non-coding RNA, 173 nt
Filed under: uncultured Penicillium
Lineage: Eukaryota; Fungi; Ascomycota; Eurotiomycetes; Eurotiales; Aspergillaceae
Description: sequence contains ITS2
Source: RNAcentral
CAACCUUAAAGCCCGGCUUUUUAUUGGAUUCUAGUUCUGCUUCGGCGGGACGGGUCCGAAAUAGAUUAAUGACGUCGCGAUUUACCACGGAAUCGAGCGAAUGGAAUCAUUAACGCUCUGUUUGAAGUGGCCGACGGUCUUCUGAAGCGGUCAUUCUUGAUCGUCUUUUUAAC